CUCCCUCAGCAAGGACAGCAGAGGACCAGCUAAGAGGGAGAGAAGCAACUACAGACCCCCCCUGAAAACAACCCUCAGACGCCACAUCCCCUGACAAGCUGCCAGGCAGGUUCUCUUCCUCUCACAUACUGACCCACGGCUCCACCCUCUCUCCCCUGGAAAGGACACCAUGAGCACUGAAAGCAUGAUCCGGGACGUGGAGCUGGCCGAGGAGGCGCUCCCCAAGAAGACAGGGGGGCCCCAGGGCUCCAGGCGGUGCUUGUUCCUCAGCCUCUUCUCCUUCCUGAUCGUGGCAGGCGCCACCACGCUCUUCUGCCUGCUGCACUUUGGAGUGAUCGGCCCCCAGAGGGAAGAGUUCCCCAGGGACCUCUCUCUAAUCAGCCCUCUGGCCCAGGCAGUCAGAUCAUCUUCUCGAACCCCGAGUGACAAGCCUGUAGCCCAUGUUGUAGCAAACCCUCAAGCUGAGGGGCAGCUCCAGUGGCUGAACCGCCGGGCCAAUGCCCUCCUGGCCAAUGGCGUGGAGCUGAGAGAUAACCAGCUGGUGGUGCCAUCAGAGGGCCUGUACCUCAUCUACUCCCAGGUCCUCUUCAAGGGCCAAGGCUGCCCCUCCACCCAUGUGCUCCUCACCCACACCAUCAGCCGCAUCGCCGUCUCCUACCAGACCAAGGUCAACCUCCUCUCUGCCAUCAAGAGCCCCUGCCAGAGGGAGACCCCAGAGGGGGCUGAGGCCAAGCCCUGGUAUGAGCCCAUCUAUCUGGGAGGGGUCUUCCAGCUGGAGAAGGGUGACCGACUCAGCGCUGAGAUCAAUCGGCCCGACUAUCUCGACUUUGCCGAGUCUGGGCAGGUCUACUUUGGGAUCAUUGCCCUGUGAGGAGGACGAACAUCCAACCUUCCCAAACGCCUCCCCUGCCCCAAUCCCUUUAUUACCCCCUCCUUCAGACACCCUCAACCUCUUCUGGCUCAAAAAGAGAAUUGGGGGCUUAGGGUCGGAACCCAAGCUUAGAACUUUAAGCAACAAGACCACCACUUCGAAACCUGGGAUUCAGGAAUGUGUGGCCUGCACAGUGAAGUGCUGGCAACCACUAAGAAUUCAAACUGGGGCCUCCAGAACUCACUGGGGCCUACAGCUUUGAUCCCUGACAUCUGGAAUCUGGAGACCAGGGAGCCUUUGGUUCUGGCCAGAAUGCUGCAGGACUUGAGAAGACCUCACCUAGAAAUUGACACAAGUGGACCUUAGGCCUUCCUCUCUCCAGAUGUUUCCAGACUUCCUUGAGACACGGAGCCCAGCCCUCCCCAUGGAGCCAGCUCCCUCUAUUUAUGUUUGCACUUGUGAUUAUUUAUUAUUUAUUUAUUAUUUAUUUAUUUACAGAUGAAUGUAUUUAUUUGGGAGACCGGGGUAUCCUGGGGGACCCAAUGUAGGAGCUGCCUUGGCUCAGACAUGUUUUCCGUGAAAACGGAGCUGAACAAUAGGCUGUUCCCAUGUAGCCCCCUGGCCUCUGUGCCUUCUUUUGAUUAUGUUUUUUAAAAUAUUUAUCUGAUUAAGUUGUCUAAACAAUGCUGAUUUGGUGACCAACUGUCACUCAUUGCUGAGCCUCUGCUCCCCAGGGGAGUUGUGUCUGUAAUCGCCCUACUAUUCAGUGGCGAGAAAUAAAGUUUGCUUAGAAAAGAA
RNAcentral lists this unclassified non-coding RNA (1669 nucleotides) under Homo sapiens (human). The record is from RNAcentral. Lineage: Eukaryota; Metazoa; Chordata; Mammalia; Primates; Hominidae.